RNAcentral lists this ribosomal RNA (582 nucleotides) under uncultured bacterium. RNAcentral describes it as "bacterial SSU rRNA". It matches the Rfam family "Bacterial small subunit ribosomal RNA", at positions 102 to 680 of the family's 1533-position model. The record is from RNAcentral.
ACGGGUGAGUAAUGUCUGGGGAUCUGCCCGAUAGAGGGGGAUAACCACUGGAAACGGUGGCUAAUACCGCAUAACGCCGCAAGACCAAAGAGGGGGACCUUCGGGCCUCUCACUAUCGGAUGAACCCAGAUGGGAUUAGCUAGUAGGCGGGGUAACGGCCCACCUAGGCGACGAUCCCUAGCUGGUCUGAGAGGAUGACCAGCCACACUGGAACUGAGACACGGUCCAGACUCCUACGGGAGGCAGCAGUGGGGAAUAUUGCACAAUGGGCGCAAGCCUGAUGCAGCCAUGCCGCGUGUAUGAAGAAGGCCUUCGGGUUGUAAAGUACUUUCAGCGGGGAGGAAGGCGAUGUGGUUAAUAACCGCAUUGAUUGACGUUACCCGCAGAAGAAGCACCGGCUAACUCCGUGCCAGCAGCCGCGGUAAUACGGAGGGUGCAAGCGUUAAUCGGAAUUACUGGGCGUAAAGCGCACGCAGGCGGUCUGUUAAGUCAGAUGUGAAAUCCCCGGGCUUAACAUGGGAACUGCAUUUGAAACUGGCAGGCUUGAGUCUCGUAGAGGGGGGUAGAAUUCCAGGUGUAGCG